UGUGGACUGUCAUCACUCCAUAAACAUACAUACUCUAUGCCUGGCCGACUUCCUAGACCUGUAUAUCGAUUGCUGUAAACCAAAGAUGUAUUGGUCCUGGUUCUGUAAAUGUCUUGGGCGUGCGCGGAGGUUAAAGAAAGGGAUGUGAUGUUGAGCAGACGAAGAUGACAGUGGUAUAUGUGUAAAUAAGAAAUGGACAGUUAGUACGAUUCGAAUCAUUUGUGUUGUGAAAAAGAGACCUUAGAUUGAAAGGUCCGGUGUUAUUUACGUCAAAAUAAUCACUGUGUAUACAUUAGCAGAUACAACUUCUUCAAGAAACUUUUGUUUGCUGCAGUAUAAUGUUCCCCUGCUUGUUUGUUUUUGAAACAGUUUUUGAUAGUAAUUUGUCGUGGUUCCCAAGUUUCGGUCUAGUUUGAACUAAGUUAAUCCAUGAUCCCCCAUUAUUUAAGUAUUUUACGCCGUAGACGAUUUUAAUAACUGCAUGUAUGGAAGUGUCAGCAAUUUUUAAUGACCAGCCAGAGGCUGAAGAACUCACCACAGGGAUUUUUGGUGAUUUGGGUGAAGAACCAUGGUUGAAUGUCACAGGAGGGGAUUCAGAUAUGAACAUGUUUUUUCACAGGGUUGGUUCAGAUCAGAUUAUAUAUCAAAGAAGGAAGAAGAAAUGUAAAAUAAUUGGAAAAUAUGUGAUGGGAGAUUUGCUAGGUGAAGGCAGUUACAGCAAAGUAAAAGAGCUUUUAGACACAGUUUCUCUCUGUAGAAGAGCAGUAAAAAUAUUGAAGAAGAAGAAACUGAGGAGAAUCCCAAAUGGGGAACAGAAUGUUCAGAGGGAGAUUCAACUGCUGAAAACACUACAACACAAGAAUGUAAUACAUUUGGUGGAGGUGCUGUACAAUGAUGAAAAACAGAAAAUGUAUAUGGUAUUGGAAUAUUGUGUGGGAGGACUACAAGAUAUGCUUGAAAGUGCACCUAAAAAGAAGUUCCCACUUUGGCAAGCACAUGGGUACUUUAGUCAACUUAUUGAUGGCUUGGAGUAUCUUCAUAGCAAAGGAAUUGUUCACAAGGACAUAAAACCAGGAAAUUUGCUUCUGACACUUGACGAAACACUGAAGAUAUCAGAUCUUGGAGUUGCGGAGUCAUUACAUCCAUUUGCAAGGGAUGACACUUGUUCAACAAAUCAAGGCUCUCCUGCAUUCCAGCCACCCGAAAUAGCAAAUGGUCAUGAGAGAUUUGCUGGGUUCAAGGUUGAUAUUUGGAGCAGUGGAGUUACUUUGUAUAACAUCACUACUGGCCAGUACCCCUUUGAAGGUGACAACAUUUACAGGUUGUUUGAAAACAUUGGAAAUGGGAAGUUUUCAAUACCAAAUGAACUUGACAAUCUCCUCACAGAUUUGCUUAGAGGGAUGUUGGAAAAAGAUCCAGAAAAGAGGCUCUCUCUACAACAAAUACGACAACAUCCGUGGUUCUUACACAAACCAGAUCGAACUACAGAGUAUGUUCCUGUGCCUCCUCUACGUGGAGAUGAUUAUCAUAUGAUGACAGUUUUGCCAUAUCUUAUGGAGUUCCAUUAUGGGGAAGAAAUUUCUGGCACUGAAAAUCAUGUUGAUUAUAUUACAGAGCACCAACUUAAUGAAACGCGUGGCCCAGCCGACGGACAGCAGUCAGCGCGGGUAUGGGACCAACACAAGUUAACGCACGGAUCCGGCUCCAGCCCAGCAGCUGAUACACACACACAAGCCCAGCCCGCACCGCAGCCAGCUUCUACGUCACGAUGUGCGCACCAUUCAAACGGCGCUCGCAACCAAACCCUCUCUUUCACACGUAAACGCAGUUCGUCGUGUCACUCAUGGGAGAGGAACGAAAGCAGCAGCAGCAGCAGCAAGAGACACAAGGACAGUUGAGACUGAAUGCAUCAGACUCUCAUCCACAUGCUGGUAGCGGUGGAAGUAAACGGCGCUGGAGACGACCAAUCUCGUGUAUUAGUGUAAAAAAAUUUCCCACUUGUAAGCAGUCGUAGCACCUCUUCUAUUCACUGGUGGCUCCCUUUAUACAAGAAGACCACAACCUCUGAUGAAUCUUCUGGUCAAGGAAUCCCAACGAAAGAAAGGAAAACUUUUGAGAUAUCCACGUACAACAAGUUUCGUUACAGCAAUCAGAUGAAGGGGGAAGUAGUUACCAGCUCAUUCAUCAGUGGAUUAGUUGUGAAUACAUUCAGUUUUCCAAAAACAAUCAAAUUCCUUUCUCUUACUCACAAGAAAGCUUAUCAACAAGGAAGAUUCUCCAUUAACAACAAUAAGGUAGAGGAUUUGAAGAAAAUGGAAGUUUACAUUCAGGGCUAUGAAUCUUUCAACAAAGAAAUGUUCAGUUAGCCAACUAUCACUGAAAUGACUGAUAUUCUUCAUUUAGAUGUAGAAGAUGUGGACUAGAAUAGUUAAUAAACAACACUUACGAUUUUACGGGAUGACUAGUAGCAUGAAAUGACAUGCAAUAUCUAAGAUUUGCUUUAAAAGGAGGAGGAGGAAAGCUCUGUUUCUGCUAUCAUACCAAUAUGAGUGAAAUAUUAGUUGCUUUUCUACAAGUGAAGUGCAUUUUCUUAUUGAUUGUUCCAUGGAAAUAAAGAAAAGUAGUAGAGUUCAUAAAGGUGAUUUAUUACAGAAACAACACAUGCAAAAGUUUUUAAACCUGUUAUAUAAUCAAGCAUGGACUAAGAGAUAAAACAGUGUGUCAGUACAUUGGGAAAAUAUGUCAUUUACACAUAUAAUAUGUACAGAUCUGUUAAAAACAAUGUACUCCUGUGCAGUUACAUUGAUUGUUAAACUUUACUAGUGUUCAAUAACUGUUAUCCAAAAAGUUGUUCCAUAUAAAGAGAUAUGGUUGUCAAUGUAUUUUUAAUUUUUCACUUUUAGCACUUACUUUAGCAUAUACGUUUCCUGUGCUCUAUUGAGGUCUAGAACUAGCAUCACUAUUUAGACUAGUAUUCAUCUGCAACUUUUCACCUAUAUGUCUUUGCUUUUUGAUAUUAGGUACUGUUCAAUAUGCCCACAUAUUGGAGAGGUAGGCUUUUGAUCAGCUGAAGCUUUCAGAUAUGUUAAAGCAAUGAGAAGCUGUGAUAUUUCGGGCUUUCUCUACAGAUCUGUUGCAUAUACACUUCUCGGGUUUGCUGUGGUGUCAUAUUGUGCAAAUCCUACAAUAUUUCAUUGAUACAACUGUUCGGUGGUAGAUGCUGUUGUCACUGGUACAAGAUGCAAAUGCUGAUAAUCGUGCAGAUGCAUUGAAAUUUAAUAGGCCAGAAACAGGGAAUACGCAUGCACAGGAAGAUGCUCACAGUUGGAGGAAAGCAAUGCUCAAAGAGGCCCCUGCUGGGAGCUGCAGAAAGCCUUACACUCAUACACCAUGGGCAAGGCCUGUGCUGCCAGACGUGCCUGUGGUUAAAAGCUGAAUUAAAUCUUAGCUGUGCACUUUGUUGAGUCAUGAAUUGAAAGUCAUUAUUUCUCCUCUUUUAAUUAACAGCAGCCACUGCUGGGUUCUAGAUGGUACUUAAUUUAAAACCUUCAUCCCUGUUGAAAAGAUUGUCCGCUGUGCAGGUACUUACGGCCUCCUUAAGAACAGUCCUAGAAAGAUGACACUGAGGAUAGAACUUCAGUCUUCUUGUAAAAUGUGUGAUGCCCUGUGCCCAGGCAAUGCUCCACUACUGCUGAUUUAUCAGGUUGCCCCAGGCAUGUACAAAGAUGGUAUUCAACACAACACCCUUGCACGGUGUGGCACGUCUGCUCAAUAUAAGAUUUCCCACAUUGGCAUGUGAUCUUAUAUACACUACAUUUCCUAAGGUCAAGAUCAUCUUUGACCAAACACAACAUAUUUCUCAAUUUUGCUGGUGGCCGGAAAACACACUUAAUAUCGUGUCUCUUAAGGAUUUUUUUCUAUUCUUGAAGAGCAUGUGGCAGCACAGUCUUUGCCCACAGUGCAUGCACAAAAGGCCUUGCUGCGACUCCUUGCAGGGGACACUUUGUGCACCGCUUUCCCCCAACUACGAAAGUCUUCCUGCAUACAUGUAUUGCCUGCUCCUGGUCUUAUAAAUUUCAAUGCCAAUGCGCAAUUAUCAUUGGUCACAUCUUGUAACAGUGAAAACAAAAUCUAUCACCACCUGAAGAUGUCAGACUGUCAUAUCAACAAAAUAUUGUGGGAUUUGCACAGUAUGAUCUGGCAGUAAACCCGAGAAGUAUAUUUGCAAUGAGAAGUUAUUUAUCACUAUAUUUAGGAGUAGACAUGGGUUUUGUACUGAUAAUGCGUUUGUUGAUGCAUUAUUCAUUUAGACUGUUUAAUAAUUUCUGGUAUUCUUGCAUUGACUAGAAUUAUUUAGUUCUUGCCCCGUUCUUACAAAUUGGUCAAGUGAUGUGUAUUUAUUUGUUUAAUAGCUUUUCAGAUUCUUUCAGUUAUUUACUUUGGACCACCCACUUUUUCCCCCCAAUUUAAACUUCAGACAUGAGUAGACUAUGGACAUGUGUACUAGAUUUUCUUCUUUAAAUUGGAUUGUAAUAAAUUUUUAUUGCUUUGUGUUGUGUCAAUUAUGUUAUAUAUACCUCAUAAUGUUCUUGUAUCCUGGUUAUUGUAUCAGUUCAUGUAACAGAUUUGGUACACUAUUAUUGUGUGUAAUGACACUAUGUUAAGUAUGAAGUAGUAUGUUGCACUUCACAUAUUUUUAAAAUGUUGUCAUGUAUUGACAGUUUUUCUGACAACAGUCGGUGCCAUGUGACAUCAAUAUUACUUUACUGUUUGGGUUGUUAUCAUCGUCAUAUUUUGUUCAUGCAUAUUGUAUUAAGGUUAUAAUUGUUUUAUUAUAUGACACUACUUAUUUCGAUGUGUUAGCUAUCAUGUUUGUAACUUUGGUAUGUAAUUUCUUUGGUCAUGUAUCUCUCACACCUAUUUGGUCCCAUCUGUAAUAGUAGCAUUGAGAUUUUUUUCUCUGCCAUUUAAUGGGACAUAAUGUUUCACUUUUGAAAAUUUCAUUCUUCUGGAUCUACACUGUAAGUUUGGCUGUACUGGAGAAGUUCCUCAUAAAUAGAAUUACGUAUGACAUAUGAAGUCUUUAUUGUUUUCUUUUGUAAAUAACACAAAGAACUAUUUUUAUAUAUUGUCUUGCUUUUCUUUGAUUCUACAUUCUGUUUCCUUUGCUUUAUGUUGAUGAAGUUUCAUGGACAAUGUUUGAGGAUCAAUGUAUGUUGUAAUAAAUAAGAAAUACAACACA
RNA transcript from Schistocerca gregaria, 5242 nucleotides. It is a transcript of the gene named serine/threonine-protein kinase STK11-like, with no coding region annotated. The record is from RefSeq and is a predicted model, not a curated record. The transcript has 9 exons. NCBI's taxonomy places the organism in Eukaryota, Metazoa, Arthropoda, Insecta, Orthoptera, Acrididae.